CCCUACACGGUAAAAUAGAUUUUGCACCCAGAACAGCAAGCAAUAGUGCCUUCAGACUCCGUUUACAGAGUCGCCCGUUCUCCAACCGUUGCUUCCGCAUACGUCAACACGUUGGGUGAUCGAGGAUCUAGUUCUUUAACAUAAGUGUCGUCACUAAAUGGGAGUGGCCAAAAUCGGUGACAGAGAAGAACGUGAACCAAUAAGAUCAAAGAAUCUGAUCACGUGCGCUCUUCCAAUCAGACACAGGCGUGUGUAGCGUAGUUGCUGGACGUGGGUCCUUCUUGGUGUAACCUCUGUUGCCCAGCUAUUUUUCAAAAUGCAAGCUGCUAUGGAUAUAUCGGCCAAGUAUUGCCAAAAAGAACUGGAAUCAUAUGGAUCCUGUGUAUCCUCCAACCCGUCCACAUGGCAACAAAAAUGCCACGAACUGAAGAUGAAAGUUGCACAUUGUACAGCAUCACACCCAGUGAUACAGAAGAUCAAGCGGGACUGUUCCAAGGAGUUUGUGGAAUUUGAUAAAUGUCUCAGAGAAAACCAGAGCACACCUACAUCCUGCACGUCACAUGUAGCACGCUUUGUGGGUUGUGCAGAAACUGUGGACCUCAGCAAAGUGGAAACAAAUCCAGCAUCGUCAUCAACAUAAGACCCAUCAGUGAACAUCAUGUCAACACCUUUGUUUGCUCCACAACAUAGAUGAGUUGGUAUAAUAUAUCUCCCAACAUGUACCUACUUGUUAUUGGGUUAAACAUUUGAAAGCAAUGUUUUAAAAUAGCCGAUUUCCACUUUAAACCCAAUUGUUUUGCUUUUGUCAUCUUUAACUAUUUUCAUGAAUGAGUGUUCAGAUUUAGAUUAAAAACUUUGACUAACAAUGCGCUUUGGAAAGCGUUUUUCAUUUAAUUGAUAUUAGAUGUCUAUUAUUCAUGUGCAGUCAUGAUCUGGUUUUGUUUUCUGUUUUUAUGUCAGUCCCUCCUACCAUUGCCCUCUGCAAGUCUGAGUCACAGUCAAAUAUUAAACUGGAAUGUAUUACUCCCA
Non-coding RNA from Oryzias latipes (Japanese medaka), 1029 nucleotides. The record is from RefSeq and is a predicted model, not a curated record. NCBI's taxonomy places the organism in Eukaryota, Metazoa, Chordata, Actinopteri, Beloniformes, Adrianichthyidae.